UGUUUCUUUUAAGACAAGCUGUGCUAUCAAUGUGCUGCUAGGUAAAAUGUUUUAUAUGUAUAUUAUUGUACUUUUUGUGGUCCUUAUCAAUGCCUGCUUUGGAUAAAUGUGGCAAUUCUAAAGCUAAUACAUGCAGCAUAAUGACCUACUGGAGAAGAGCUCUGUUAUUAGCCUAAAACCAACCAACCGGAGCUAGUGUCUGUAUUAUAUAGUGAAUCUAUGUAACUUUGGCUAAUCGCAUGGACUUGUCCUGGGUACGUAUCUUUCAUGCUUCUGCCUUAUCAAUUGUCGAUGGUAGGUUACGCGUCUGCCUUGGUCAUAACAGGUGACGGGGAAUCAGGGUUUGAUUCCGGAGAAGGAGCGUGAGAGACGGCUACCACCUCCAGGAAGGUAACAGGCGCCCAAAUUACCACCUCCAGAACGGAGAGAUAGCGACGAAAAAUGACAAUACGGCACUCUUUUGAGAACCCCGUAACUGCAAUGAUGAGUAAUAAUGAAACUGAAUGAGUAUACUCUAAAUCCUUUAACGAGUAUGAAAUGGAGGACAAGUCUGGUGCAGCAACUGUGAUAAUUCCAGCUCCAGUAGCG
RNAcentral lists this non-coding RNA (588 nucleotides) under Stegodyphus mimosarum. RNAcentral's name for it is "eukaryotic small subunit ribosomal RNA". It matches the Rfam family "Eukaryotic small subunit ribosomal RNA", at positions 52 to 599 of the family's 1831-position model. Lineage: Eukaryota; Metazoa; Arthropoda; Arachnida; Araneae; Eresidae. The record is from Rfam by way of RNAcentral.